This is a long non-coding RNA of Lepidothrix coronata (blue-crowned manakin), 711 nucleotides long. RefSeq lists it as uncharacterized. NCBI's taxonomy places the organism in Eukaryota, Metazoa, Chordata, Aves, Passeriformes, Pipridae. The transcript is spliced from 8 exons. The record is from RefSeq and is a predicted model, not a curated record.
GGGUCCCUCCCGGGGGGCGGAGAGCUGCAGGUGACGCGGUGAGAGCGAAGGAGCCCGGGCACCCGACCCCUCCGGCCUUGGCUGUGCGCAGGCAGGAGGAGAGCGGGUGUGGAUCCUGUUCUCACACAUCAGCAUAAACCAACAGCAUUAUGGAUGAUUGUAGACUCACGCUGGCAUAAUACCAAACCUGUUUCCACCCACUGCUGUCCCAUGCCAUUAGCUGUGGACUGUAAUAGAAGCUCAGAAUUUGGAUCUCCUUGUUCAGAAUUUCAGCAGGAGCUGCAAAUGAACUAGUUCCCUGAAAGUUCAUCUAGAGGUUUGAAUUCAUCGUGUAUUGAGCUGAGCUGUUUUCCUGCGUGCCCAUCUGUUUGGCCUUUGAGAUGCUUAUACCUGUUGUGAUUAUCUUCUGAGAAUUUUUAAGAAGUUUUGAUAAAAACACGAACAUCACAAGAACAUCUUUGCAUCCAGUGAUCGGUUUUGCUGAGUUUUUAGAUCUUCAGAAACUGAAAAUAAAUUUACCAUUCCUAUGCAUUUGAGAACAGGGAAGUGCCCAACUGCACCAGCACUAGCUGGAAGGUGUUAGCUGCCCAGCCUGGAGAACAACCAAGCUUCAGCUCCGGUGCCUCCUCUUCAUCUGGAACUGUUAUCUGACUGCUAAUGAGAUAACUGGGUCUAUCAACUAUUCCUACAGACAUUUUUGUGCAAGCAGUG